RNAcentral lists this ribosomal RNA (266 nucleotides) under uncultured Staphylococcus sp. RNAcentral describes it as "partial 16S ribosomal RNA". It matches the Rfam family "Bacterial small subunit ribosomal RNA", at positions 96 to 355 of the family's 1533-position model. Lineage: Bacteria; Bacillati; Bacillota; Bacilli; Caryophanales; Staphylococcaceae. The record is from RNAcentral.
CGGCGGACGGGUGAGUAACACGUGGAUAACCUACCUAUAAGACUGGGAUAACUUCGGGAAACCGGAGCUAAUACCGGAUAAUAUAUUGAACCGCAUGGUUCAAUGGUGAAAGACGGUUUUGCUGUCACUUAUAGAUGGAUCCGCGCCGCAUUAGCUAGUUGGUAAGGUAACGGCUUACCAAGGCAACGAUGCGUAGCCGACCUGAGAGGGUGAUAGGCCACACUGGAACUGAGACACGGUCCAGACUCCUACGGGAGGCAGCAGUC